Molecule: non-coding RNA, 106 nt
Filed under: Moraxella bovoculi
Lineage: Bacteria; Pseudomonadati; Pseudomonadota; Gammaproteobacteria; Moraxellales; Moraxellaceae
Also listed under: 1 other name
Description: Glycine sequence
Rfam family: Glycine riboswitch aptamer
About the family: This family represents the bacterial glycine riboswitch. Glycine riboswitches usually consist of two metabolite-binding aptamers domains with similar structures in tandem.
Source: RNAcentral
GCUAACCGCUCUGGAGAGCUUGCCAUUUUUUUUAAGUGGCAACACCGAAGGGAAGAAGUAAUUUUUGAAUUACGAAAAUCUCAGGUAUCAGGACAGAUGGGGUGUG